Long non-coding RNA from Coregonus clupeaformis (lake whitefish), 141 nucleotides. RefSeq lists it as uncharacterized. The record is from RefSeq and is a predicted model, not a curated record. The transcript has 3 exons. NCBI's taxonomy places the organism in Eukaryota, Metazoa, Chordata, Actinopteri, Salmoniformes, Salmonidae.
CCCCGGACCUCCAGGAUCAUCCUCCUCACCUGGAGCCUACAGGCCAUCACAGACCAUCAGCAUCCCUGGACCUCCGGGUCCUCCUGGCCCACCUGGGACUGAUGGACACUCCUCUGGGGUGAUGGUGCUGAGGUCAUAUGA